AGAGUUUGAUCCUGGCUUAGGAUAAACGCUGGCGGCGCACAUAAGACAUGCAAGUCGAACGAACUUAACCAUUAGUUUACUAUUGGAGCGGUUAGUGGCGGACUGGUGAGUAACACGUAAGCAACCUGCCUAUCAGAGGGGAACAACAGUUAGAAAUGACUGCUAAUACCGCAUAUGCCUUAGAAUCACAUGGUUCGAAAGGGAAAGGAGCAAUCCGCUGAUAGAUGGGCUUGCAU
RNAcentral lists this ribosomal RNA (236 nucleotides) under uncultured bacterium. RNAcentral describes it as "partial 16S ribosomal RNA". It matches the Rfam family "Bacterial small subunit ribosomal RNA", at positions 8 to 236 of the family's 1533-position model. The record is from RNAcentral.